Capsicum annuum is the source of this 2916-nucleotide non-coding RNA. Lineage: Eukaryota; Viridiplantae; Streptophyta; Magnoliopsida; Solanales; Solanaceae. The record is from Rfam.
GUUCAAACGAGGAAAGGCUUACGGUAGAUACCUAGGCACCCAGAGACGAGAAAAGGCGUAGUAAUCGACGAAAUACUUUGGGGAGUUGAAAAUAAGCAUAGAUCCGGAGAUUCCAGAAUAGGGCAACCUUUUGAACUGCUGCUGAAUCCAUGGGCAGGCAAGAAACAACUUGGGGAACUAAAAUAUCUUAGUAGCCAGAGAAAAAUAAAGCAAAGCAAUUCCCGUAGUAGCGGCGAGUAAAAUGGGAGCAGCCUAAACCAUGAAAAUAGGGUUAUGGGGGAGCAAUACAACCGUCGUGCUGCUAGGCGAAGCAACCUGAAUACUGCACCCUAGAUGGAGAAAGUCCAGUAGCCGAAAGCAUUCCUAGCUUACGCUCUGACCCGAGUAGCAUGGGGCACGUGAAAUCCCGUGUGAAUCAGCAAGGACCACUUUGCAAGGCUAAAUACUCCUGGGUGACAAUAGCGAAGUAGUACCGUAAGGGAAGGGUGAAAAUAAACCCUAUCGGGAAGUGAAGUAGAACAUGAAACUGUAAGCUCCCAAGCAGUGGGAGAAUCCAGGGCUCUGACCGCGUGCCUGUUGAAGAAUGAUCCGGCGAAUCAUAGGCAGUGGCUUAGUUAAGGGAACCCACCAAAGCCGUAGAGAAAUCGAGUCUUCAUAAGGAAAUUGUCACUGUUUAUGGACCCAAACCUGGGUGAUCUAUCUAUGACCAGGAUGAAGCUUGGAUGAAACUAAGUGGAGGUCCGAACCGACUGAUGUUGAAGAAUCAGCAGAUGAGUUAUGGUUAAGGGUAAAAUUCCACUCGAACCCAGAGCUAGCUGGUUCUCCUUGAAAUGCAUUGAGGCACAAUAGUUGACUGGACAUCUAGGGGUAAAGCACUAUUUCAGUGUAGGCCGCGAGAGCGGUACCAAAUUAAGGCAAAAUCUAAAUACUAGGUAUGGCCUAAAAAUUAAAAAAGAGGGGUCAAACUCGGAUAGUGAGACGAUGAGGGAUAAGCUUCAUCGUCGAGAUGGAAACAACCUAGAUCACCAGUUAAGGCCCCUAAAUGGACACUCAGUGAUAAAGGAGGUAGAGGUGCAGAGACAGUCAAGAGGUUUGCCUAGAAGCAGCCACCCUUGAAAGAGUGCGUAAUAGCUCACUGACCGAGCACUUUUGUGCCAAAAAUGAAUGGGGCUAAGCGAUAUGCCAAAGCUGUGGGGUGUAAAAAUACAUCGGUAGGGGAGUAUUCCACCUUAGAGAGAAGCCUCUGCGCGAGCGGUGGUGGACGAAGCGGAAGCAAUAAUAUCAACUUGAGUAAUACAAACAUUAGUGAGAAUCUAAUGCCCCAAAAACCUAAGGGUUCCUCCUCAAGGUUCAUCCACGGAGGGUGAGUCAGGGCCUAAGAUCAGGCCGAAAGGCGUAGUCGAUGGACAACAGGUGAAUAUUCCUGUACUACCCCUUGUUGGUCCUGAGGGACGAAGAAGGCUAGGUUAGCCAAAAGAUGGUUAUCGGUUCAAGAAUAUAAGGUAUCCCUGCCCUUUUUUUAGGGUAAGAAGAGGUAGAGAAAAUGACUCGAGACAAUGUUCAAAUACCAGGCUCUACGGCACUGAAGUAACCCAUGCCAAACUCCUAGGAAAAGCUCGAAUGACUUUGAGCAAGAGGGUACCUGUACCCGAAACCGACACAGGUGGGUAGGUAGAGAAUACCUAAGGGCCCAAGACAACUCUUUCUAAGGAUCUUGGCAAAAUAGCCCCAUAACUUCGGGAGAAGGAGUGCCUCUUUACAUCACAAAGGGGGUCACAGUGACCAUGCUCGGGCGACUGUUUACCAAAAACACAGGUCUCCGUAAAGUCGUAAGACCAUGUAUGGGGGCUGAUGCUUGCCCAAUGUCGAAAGGUCAAGAAAGUUGGUGACCUGAUGAUAGGGGAGCCGGCGAACGAAGCCCCGGUGAACGGCAGCCAUAACUAUAAUGGUCCUAAGGUAGCGAAAUUCCUUAUCAUGUAAGUUCCGACCCGUACGAAAGGCGUAAUGAUUUGGGUACUGUCUCGAAGAGAGGCUCAAUGAAAUAGACAUGUAUGUGAAGAUACGGACUACCUACACCUAGACAGAAAGACCCUAUAAAGCUUCACUGUUCCCUAGGAGUGGCUUUGGGCCUUUCCUACGCAACUUAGGUGAAAGAAGAAGAAUGCCUCCUUUAGGGGGCCCGAGCCAUCAGCGAGAUACCACUCUGGAAGAGCUAGAAUUUUAACCUUGUGUCAGGACCUACGGGCUAAGGGACAUUCUCAGGUAGACAGUUUCUAUGGGGCGUAGGCCUCCCAAAAGGUAACGAAGGCAUGCAAAGAUUUCCUCGGGCCAGACGGAGAUUGGCCCUUGAGUGCAAAGGCAGAAGGGAGCUUGACUGCAAGACGCACCCGUCAAGCAGAGACGAAAGUCAUCCUUAGUAAUCUGACGAUGCCGAGUGGAAGGGCCGUCGAUCAACGGAUAAAAGUUACUCUAUGGAUAACAGGUUGAUCUUUCUCAAGAGCUCACAUCGACGGGAAGUUUUGGCACCUCGAUGUCGUCUCUUCGCCACCUGGUGCUGUAGUAUAUUCCAAGGGUUGGGUUGUUCGCCCACUAAAGUGGUACGUGAGCUGGGUUCAGAACAUCGUGAGUAAUUUUGGUCUAUAUCCAGUAUGGGCGUUAGAGAAUAGAGAGGAACUUUACCUAGUACGAGAGGAUCGAGAAGGACACACUUCUGGUGUACCAGUUAUCAUGCCCACAGUAAACGCUGGGUAGCCAAGUGCAGAGGGGAUAACUGCUGAAAGCGUCUAAGUAGUAAGCCCACCCCAAGAUAAGUGCUCUCCUAUUCCAACUUCCCCAGAGCUUCCGGUAGCACAGCCGAGACAGUGAUGAGUUCUCUGCCCCUGCGGGGAUGAAGUGACAGAAGUUUUUUUUAGGCCU